This is a long non-coding RNA of Macaca nemestrina (pig-tailed macaque), 2771 nucleotides long. Lineage: Eukaryota; Metazoa; Chordata; Mammalia; Primates; Cercopithecidae. The record is from Ensembl.
GGGGGUGCGGGGGGCGUUGCUGUAGAAAGAGGGAUGGGGGAGGGAGGACAAACAAGCAGCACUGCUGAGAAAAACAUAGGCGGCCUCUAUCUCAGUGUGAGGAGACCUUGUGCUGUAGCUGCCACAAAGCAGCAUUUGACCCAAGGCUAUGUUAACAAAGAUACUGCCUUUAGAAUAGGGAGGUGCUCUACAGUGAUCAUUCGUUCAACUGACCUUUGUCAUUGGCCAGACAUAGGACAGAAUGGUUCUGCAUCUGGGGAACACCAUUUAAGUAAAAUCAGAAAAAUCUCUGGUCUUUUGUAGCAUAUGUUCCAGUGGAAAGAGGCGGACUUUAGAUACGCUAUAACCAGAGUAAGGAAGGAAAGUGCUAGAAGGUGGUGACCUCUGAGGAAGGAUUUGAGGGACGUGAGGAUGUCUGGGGAAGUUAUUUCCAGACAGAGGAACCUCCAGUCCAAAUGCACUAUGGCAGGAAGGUGUCUGUGUUCCCAGAAGAGCAAGGAGGCCAGGAGGGCUGGACAGAGAGAAACUGAGUGGAGUAGAGGCCAGGUAGAGAAUUCAGGAUGUGGCUCUCGCACAAGGAACACCUGUGAAUGCCGCUCUCUGACACCUGCCCACAGACUCAUUUCCCGCUCACUUCUUGGAGCAAACUAUGGAAAACAAAUUUCUGUAAUGUACACAUUAAGUCGUAUAUCUGGUAUUGGGGGCUAGUUUUAUUGUGGGGAAGGCCACAGAAGCAGGCUGGAACCUACACAUCCAGGAACAGAAUCCACAGCCCACCCUGGAUCAGGUCCCUCCUAGAAACAACUGCCCCUGCUGCUGAGCACAGACGCCACUGCUCACACCUCUGACACCUGGUGCUGGACACUGGACCCCGAGGCCAGGACAGAUGUCACUGCUGCACCUGGAAACUGGACAUCACUACUGUCACUCAGCCAUCUUUACUAAAAUGUGUUCUGCACAGUCCCAGCCUCUCUGUCACCUCAUUCUGGCUCAGAGGCUGGCAGUGAUAUAGGAGUUAAGAAGAAAUUAUUUAGACAGGUAGUGAGGGUACGGAAGGCUUUUAAUGAAAAGCAGGCUCCAAACUAUUUUCUUUUCUAACAAGGAGCAGCCUGUAAUAUCAAGCUUCAGACACAGACAAGUAAGCUGGAAGCUUGCACGGGUGAAUGCUGGCAGCUGUGCGAAUAGCAAUCGGACACCUGGGACCGGGCAUGUUCACAAUGGCGACUCCAUCUUCCCUUCUGUUUGCCAGGCUCCUUCCUUACAGUAAGGAGCAGACAACAUGGCCAAGUGGCAAGCCCAUUUGCAUAAUAGGAUGAGGGUGGGGUGAACAGCCUUCCACACACACUGUGUAAAUAUCACACCUGGUCCAACCAACCUGUGGCCCCUACAUAAAUCACACACCAUCUCCUCAAACCUGCCUGUAAAAUCCGAUGCACUCCCAUUCCAUGCCGGAAUUCCCUUUUGGGUGCCCCUCUGUCUCACAAGAAAAGAGCUGUUCCCCUUUGUCUUUCUUUUGCCUAUUCAACUCUUUGCUCCUAAACUCAUUCCUCAUAUGUCAGUGUCCUUCAUCUUCUUGGCAUGAGAUGACAAACCCUUAGUAUUUACCUGAGAAAAUGACACCUCUUCAGCAGGUGGUCAUUGGACUGGUGGAGCUUAAGACUCAUGUCCAUGAUCAACUGCAGGGUGACUGGAAUGUUGUCCUCUUCCAGGGAGGGAGGUGGUUUCUGUCUCCUCUCAACAUUUUACAUGUUGUAAACCAAAAAUAAACAUCAAAGCCACCCACUCCUAACCAUCUUAAUGAACACCCUCAGCCAGGGUGCUCAAAACUUAACCUGAAAGACUGGCUCAAGCCACCAUGAUUAUGCUCUCUUCCCUUUUGGAGUUCAGGAAAAGCUGACCUGCAUUUACCAUCAACACAGACCUUAAAUCUGAUGAGAAACAUUUACAAUCUAUUCUCUCUGAAGCCUGGCACCUGGAGGCGUCAUCUGCAUGAGAAAAUUUUGGACUCUACAACCUCUUAUCAUAACCCAGACAUUUCCUUUCUAUUGAUAUUAACUCAACCAAUUGCCAAUCAGAAAAAUUAAAAAUCUACUUAUAACCCAGAAGCACUACCCCACAACCCUUGCCUGCUUCAAAUUGUUCCAACUUUCUGAACUGAGCCAAUGUAUAGCUUAAAUGUAUUUCAUUGAUGUCGCAUAUCUUUCUAAAAUGUAUAAAACCAACCUGUGCCACAACCACCUUGAGCACAUGUUCUCAGGGUCUCCUGAGGACUGUGUCGUAGGCUGUGGUCACUCAUUUUUGGCUCAGAAUAAAUCUCUUCAAAUAUGUUACCGAGUUUGACUCUUUUCAUUGACAGUGUGGAAUUCUGAUGUAAUAAGAGGGUUCAAGUGCUGGAGUGUGAGGGGUGGGAAAAAGUGACAAAUUUUAAUUCUUGGAGCAGUGAUCCAGGACGAGAACUUUAUCUGGUACCUGGCAGGCAUGCAGAGUGUCUGAAUGAACCAGUGAUUAAUAAAUAACAUGUUUCCACCCAUUCUGUUGAGGGUAGGUUAUUGCAUCAAGCUUUGGUCUAUCCCAGUUCAUACUCUAGAUUAUUGGAGUGGCAUUGUGUGAUAGUGAAAUGAUUACUCAAACAGCUUCCCUUGACUUUGUCUCUUACUAGGAUUAAAACACCCAAGAUUGUAAGAUCUCCGAGGAUCUGGGUCCACACCGAUGUUUUAUAUUAAUAUUUAUAUUUUCUUGUGUGUGGAAAUAUUUCUGGGGAGAGAAUCUCU